Molecule: unclassified non-coding RNA, 207 nt
Filed under: uncultured Glomeraceae
Lineage: Eukaryota; Fungi; Glomeromycota; Glomeromycetes; Glomerales; Glomeraceae
Description: sequence contains 18S rRNA gene
Source: RNAcentral
UACGUCGAUCCUAGAAACCAACAAAAUAGGAGAUCAAACGUCCUAUUUUAUUAUUCCAUGCUAAUGUAUUCAAGCGCGAGCUUGCUUUAAACACUCUAAUUUUUUCAAAGUAACAGUCCUGAUUCCCCGCCACACCAACUAAAUGGUAUAACGGUUCAUCAGAAGGGAGGAAUCAGUGACACCAGUACAUACCGAAGGUACGACCGG